This 301-nucleotide ribosomal RNA is filed under the name uncultured bacterium. RNAcentral's name for it is "partial 16S ribosomal RNA". It matches the Rfam family "Bacterial small subunit ribosomal RNA", at positions 509 to 807 of the family's 1533-position model. The record is from RNAcentral.
CAGUAGCCGCGGUAAUACGUAGGUGGCAAGCGUUGUCCGGAAUUAUUGGGCGUAAAGGGCUCGCAGGCGGUUUCUUAAGUCUGAUGUGAAAGCCCCCGGCUCAACCGGGGAGGGUCAUUGGAAACUGGGAAACUUGAGCGCAGAAGAGGAGAGUGGAAUUCCACGUGUAGCGGUGAAAUGCGUAGAGAUGUGGAGGAACACCAGUGGCGAAGGCGACUCUCUGGUCUGUAACUGACGCUGAGGAGCGAAAGCGUGGGGAGCGAACAGGAUUAGAUACCCCGGUAGUCCCUGUCUCUUAUAC